AGAGAAUUGGCUGAGCGGUUUAAGGUGGUAAAUUUGAAACUUACUUGGUGUUAAACAUCACAUCCGUUCAAAUCGGAUAUUCUCUG
RNAcentral lists this transfer RNA (86 nucleotides) under Antarctomyces psychrotrophicus. RNAcentral's name for it is "tRNA-Ser". It matches the Rfam family "tRNA". From Rfam's summary of the family: Transfer RNA (tRNA) molecules are approximately 80 nucleotides in length. The record is from RNAcentral. RNAcentral also lists the same sequence under 2 other names. Lineage: Eukaryota; Fungi; Ascomycota; Leotiomycetes; Thelebolales; Thelebolaceae.